This 354-nucleotide ribosomal RNA is filed under the name uncultured bacterium. RNAcentral describes it as "bacterial SSU rRNA". It matches the Rfam family "Bacterial small subunit ribosomal RNA", at positions 917 to 1271 of the family's 1533-position model. The record is from RNAcentral.
GGGCCCGCACAAGCGGUGGAGCAUGUGGUUUAAUUCGAUGCAACGCGAAGAACCUUACCUACACUUGACAUACAGAGAACUUACCAGAGAUGGUUUGGUGCCUUCGGGAACUCUAAUACAGGUGCUGCAUGGCUGUCGUCAGCUCGUGUUGUGAGAUGUUGGUUAAGUCCCGCAACGAGCGCAACCCCUAUCCUUAGUUGCUAGCAGGUAAUGCUGAGAACUCUAAGGAGACUGCCGGUGAUAAACCGGAGGAAGGUGGGGACGACGUCAAGUCAUCAUGGCCCUUACGUGUAGGGCUACACACGUGCUACAAUGGCGCAUACAGAGUGCUGCGAACUCGCGAGGGUAAGCGAA